CUUUCUGCUUGUUCUAUUAAUUAUAGAGAAGUGGCGUUGUCAUACACCAAAGAAUGGCCCCCAAACAUGUUCACACCCUAUGUCUGAAAUUUGAGAAUAUAUUUACAUGGCAAAAGUGGCCUUGCAGCCAGGUGUGGUGGCACACACCUAUAAUCCCUGCACUCAAGAGGCUGAGGCAGGAGGAUUGCUUCGAGUUCAAGGCUAGCCUGGGCUACCUUGUCUCAAAAAACCCAAAGUGACCUUGUCAAUGUGAUUAAGGUUGCAGACCUUGAGACAGGGAGAUCAUCCUGGAUUAUUCAGAUGGAUGAGUCCUUAAAAGAGAAGAAUCUUUCCCAGGUGUGGUCAGAGAAAAAGGAGAGAGGUGGAACACCUUGGGCUUUGAUGAUGGGGGCAUGAAAGAGCCAAGGCGCAGGAAGGAAGAAGAGCCCCCCCAGAACUUCCAGAACAGAAAACAGCUUAGGACACUAAUUUUUGCCCAGAUCUGUACCAGACUUCUGAUACAAAGAACUACAAGAUACUGCUGAGAUUCAUCGGUAGAGCUGAGUGCUUAUGAUUUUCAGAUCAUGCUCAGUGAUUCCACAAAGCAGUAAGUGAAGAGAAGAGCAUGAAGUACUGAACUCCUGAGCCCUGCUCCUUCCCACAAAUGCUGCUUGUGUUCACCUCCUCCUUCAUCUGCAAAAUUGGCCGAUACUGUCCUUUAGAGGAAAUCAUUCCCAGGUUAGGAUCUGAUUCUGAAUAAUGCCUUGCAUUUAUUGGGCUGCUUAGUCUGUUUAGUUUGGGGCGGUCCUUGCCUUUGUUUGCAUGAUACUGACGUUUGUGAGGAGACCGUUGUGCUAUUGGCAGUUCCUCACUUAGGGUCUGAUAGUUUCCUCAUGACUCAGGAAAUGUAUUUAUUGGCAAGAACACUGAAUACAUGAUAUGUCCCCAGGUGUCAGAUCAGGAGGUAAAUAAUGUCAGUUUGUCCUAUUAUUGCUAAUGUUGGCUCUGAUCUCUUGGCUAAGGUAGUAUCUACCAGAUUUUUCCACUCACAAGGUAUCUUUUUCCCUUUAUGACUUGUGGAGUCUUCUAUCAAUGUUGUUUGAUAAUUGUUUCUUUUGAUAUGUGUAAUACACACCUUACCAGUAGAAGGCAAAUUCCUUCAUUGUUUUUGCCUGUCAAAAUGUCAACUCCAACAGGAUGCAUGCCACUUUCCAGAGAGGGGUGAUAGCACCUCCACUAUUUUGCAUGGUCAUCUGUUGGCACCAGGAAGCUGUUUUUGCACAGGGCCGCACACUCCAUAGGCUGAAUGCAGGCAGCCCCAGCAACUCCAGUAGUGAAAUCCAUUUUCUCCAUUGCAGUAGUCUGGACAGAUGACUGCUUUUCUGAACCAGCUCUCAGCAAAAAAGGGGCAUUUUUCACCUGGGCACUCACUACACCCCCUACAGCUAUGGCAGAGGAGGUAGCAUCCCCAGGUGUUUUUGCUUAUACUCUUUUUAAUGUCUAAAUAAAAAGAAUAGAAAGAAGCCUUUGUUUUAAUGCACAUGAAUAUGUACAUAUACUUUUUUGUUAUCUUAGAAUUUUAUAUUUGGAAUUGAUAAUUGAAUGAGAAUGUUGCAUAGGUCCACCAAUAAAAUAUAAUCUGUUUA
Molecule: non-coding RNA, 1625 nt
Organism: Heterocephalus glaber (naked mole-rat)
Lineage: Eukaryota; Metazoa; Chordata; Mammalia; Rodentia; Bathyergidae
Source: RefSeq, a predicted model, not a curated record